GAUGAACGCUGGCGGCAUGCCUUACACAUGCAAGUCGAACGGUAACAGGUCUUCGGAUGCUGACGAGUGGCGAACGGGUGAGUAAUGCAUCGGAACGUGCCUAGUAGUGGGGGAUAACUACUCGAAAGAGUGGCUAAUACCGCAUGAGAUCUACGGAUGAAAGCAGGGGAUCGCAAGACCUUGUGCUACUAGAGCGGCCGAUGGCAGAUUAGGUAGUUGGUGGGAUAAAAGCUUACCAAGCCGACGAUCUGUAGCUGGUCUGAGAGGACGAUCAGCCACACUGGGACUGAGACACGGCCCAGAUUCCUACGGGAGGCAGCAGUGGGGAAUUUUGGACAAUGGGCGCAAGCCUGAUCCAGCAAUGCCGCGUGCAGGAUGAAGGCCUUCGGGUUGUAAACUGCUUUUGUACGGAACGAAAAGCCCCGGGUUAAUACCCUGGGGUCAUGACGGUACCGUAAGAAUAAGCACCGGCUAACUACGUGCCAGCCGCCGCAGUAA
RNAcentral lists this ribosomal RNA (498 nucleotides) under uncultured bacterium. RNAcentral describes it as "partial 16S ribosomal RNA". It matches the Rfam family "Bacterial small subunit ribosomal RNA", at positions 28 to 523 of the family's 1533-position model. The record is from RNAcentral.